RNAcentral lists this ribosomal RNA (485 nucleotides) under Brachycephalus ferruginus. RNAcentral describes it as "LSU rRNA". It matches the Rfam family "Bacterial large subunit ribosomal RNA", at positions 1848 to 2570 of the family's 2925-position model. Lineage: Eukaryota; Metazoa; Chordata; Amphibia; Anura; Brachycephalidae. The record is from RNAcentral.
AGAGGUCUAGCCUGCCCAGUGACUAAAAUUCAACGGCCGCGGUAUCCUGACCGCGCGAAGGUAGCGUAAUCACUUGUUUUUUAAAUAAAGACUAGUAUGAAUGGCACCACGAGGAUCAAACUGUCUCCUUUACAUAAUCAGUGAAACUAAUCUCCCCGUGAAAAAGCAGGGAUUAAACUACAAGACGAAAAGACCCUAUGGAGCUUUAAAUACGUAACUAUGCCUUUCCUCCCGCACUAGUUAUAAGUUUUAGGUUGGGGUGACCGCGGAGAAAAACAUAUCCUCCAUAAUGAAUAAGUUUACUUUAAACAAAAAGUCACAACUUCAUGUAUCAACAAAUUGACAUACUGAUCCAAUAAUCUGAUCAACGAACCAAGUUACCCUAGGGAUAACAGCGCAAUCCACUUUAAGAGUUCAUAUCGACAAGUGGGCUUACGACCUCGAUGUUGGAUCAGGGUAUCCCAGUGGUGCAGCCGCUACUAAAG